This 328-nucleotide long non-coding RNA is filed under the name Setaria italica (foxtail millet). RNAcentral's name for it is "long non-coding RNA (SITA_LNC000990)". The record is from RNAcentral. Lineage: Eukaryota; Viridiplantae; Streptophyta; Magnoliopsida; Poales; Poaceae.
AAGGCCCUGUUUGGCAUGGCUCCAACUCCGAGUAGAGCUGCUCCACUCCAGAACUCUAGGUGGAGCCAGCUCCACUCUAGAACUCCAGAACAAACCAGAACAAAAAUGGGGUGUUUGGCUAGAUGGGUACUCUCAACUCCAAAAAAGAUCGAUUUCAGUGUGGAUUGCCAUUGUUGCCCCUAAUUCAGGCCCCACUUGUCAUCCUCUCUAUCACAUCUUCUUCUCCUGCCACGUUCUGCUCGGUGAUGUCCACGUUCUGCCGGGGAUGCAACAGGGCUGGGCGGUGAUGGGGUCGGCCGGCGGGGCUUGGGCGGCAGGGCUGGGUGGC